This 165-nucleotide ribosomal RNA is filed under the name uncultured Bacteroidota bacterium. RNAcentral describes it as "uncultured Bacteroidetes bacterium partial 16S ribosomal RNA". It matches the Rfam family "Bacterial small subunit ribosomal RNA", at positions 338 to 500 of the family's 1533-position model. The record is from RNAcentral. Lineage: Bacteria; Pseudomonadati; Bacteroidota.
CCUACGGGAGGCAGCAGUGAGGAAUAUUGGACAAUGGGCGAGAGCCUGAUCCAGCCAUGCCGCGUGCAGGAAGACUGCCCUAUGGGUUGUAAACUGCUUUUAUACGGGAAGAAACACUCCCUCGUGAGGGAAUUUGACGGUACCGUACGAAUAAGCAUCGGCUAA